Long non-coding RNA from Pezoporus flaviventris, 687 nucleotides. RefSeq lists it as uncharacterized. Lineage: Eukaryota; Metazoa; Chordata; Aves; Psittaciformes; Psittacidae. The record is from RefSeq and is a predicted model, not a curated record. The transcript has 4 exons.
GUGUGCCCCCCCCCCAGCCAUAAUCAUCAGUGGAGCUUACUCUGAACGUUGGGAAUGGUAGGCAACAUGUUAGCCAAAGGCUGUCUGGAAUGGUGACCCAGUUGCAUGCAAAUACAACUUUUAAUAUGAAAAGCUUUUCCUCUGCGGCAGAUGAUGACAAAGCUCCCUUCGAAUUGACUUUGUGUUGUCAGUGACCUCCAUGUACUGAAAACUUCAGUGGCAAUUAAGAAGAACCUGUGGCGUCAGCCCAAAGUUCUGAAGAACCUUGGCUGGAAGCUUUGCAAAAGGAAGUUGACCUGAGAUUUCUACAAGGAGUAAUGAAGAGGAAGAACAAACAAGCAGAAAUCACUGAAACCAAAAACAGGUGAAUGUUUUGAAGUUGACACUAAAUCAGUGUUUCUUGGAGAGUGGAAAUGCUUUUUAUCCCUUAUAAUACAUAAAAUCAUCCCGAGUGUGCAAUAAAUUUCCAUUACGGUGCAGCAUCAGUGAGACUUGGAUCAUCUAGAGAGAUCUGUCACUAAAGCAAAUAGCUAACUAGCAGAAGUGCUGUGUAGCUCUUGACUGUAAAUGAUUAUGAGAUUGUAAAUGGAUUUACAACAUUGAUUUUGCAUAAUAUCAUGAAAUACAGUAUAAUGUGUUCCUUUCUUCUUUCCAUGUUCUAUAACAGAAGUUAAAUACCACACUGAC